UGAGGAACAUGACCUUCGGUGGGGGAGUAGCCGGCCCAACGGCCGGGUAAUACCGCGUACGACCAGUUGGGGACAUCCCCGAGUGGUGAAAGCAGCAAUGCGCCGAAAGAGUGCCUCGCGGCCUAUCAACUAGUUGGUGAGGUAAUGGCUCACCAAGGCGACGACGGGUAGCUGGUCUGAGAGGAUGGCCAGCCACAUUGGGACUGAGACACGGCCCAGACUCCUACGGGAGGNAG
This 236-nucleotide ribosomal RNA is filed under the name uncultured bacterium. Its description in RNAcentral is "partial 16S ribosomal RNA". It matches the Rfam family "Bacterial small subunit ribosomal RNA", at positions 118 to 351 of the family's 1533-position model. The record is from RNAcentral.